AGGCUUAACACAUGCAAGUCGAGCGCCCCGCAAGGGGAGCGGCAGACGGGUGAGUAACGCGUGGGAACGUACCCUUUACUACGGAAUAACGCAGGGAAACUUGUGCUAAUACCGUAUGUGCCCUUCGGGGGAAAGAUUUAUCGGUAAAGGAUCGGCCCGCGUUGGAUUAGCUAGUUGGUGGGGUAAAGGCCUACCAAGGCGACGAUCCAUAGCUGGUCUGAGAGGAUGAUCAGCCACAUUGGGACUGAGACACGGCCCAAACUCCUACGGGAGGCAGCAGUGGGGAAUAUUGGACAAUGGGCGCAAGCCUGAUCCAGCCAUGCCGCGUGAGUGAUGAAGGCCCUAGGGUUGUAAAGCUCUUUCACCGGAGAAGAUAAUGACGGUAUCCGGAGAAGAAGCCCCGGCUAACUUCGUGCCAGCAGCCGCGGUAAUACGAAGGGGGCUAGCGUUGUUCGGAAUUACUGGGGCGUAAAGCGCACGUAGGCGGAUUGAUCAGUCAGGGGUGAAAUCCCAGGGCUCAACCCUGGAACUGCCUUUGAUACUGUCGAUCUGGAGUAUGGAAGAGGUGAGUGGAAUU
RNAcentral lists this ribosomal RNA (577 nucleotides) under Rhizobium etli. RNAcentral's name for it is "bacterial SSU rRNA". It matches the Rfam family "Bacterial small subunit ribosomal RNA", at positions 44 to 668 of the family's 1533-position model. Lineage: Bacteria; Pseudomonadati; Pseudomonadota; Alphaproteobacteria; Hyphomicrobiales; Rhizobiaceae. The record is from RNAcentral.